This 418-nucleotide long non-coding RNA is filed under the name Mytilus galloprovincialis (Mediterranean mussel). The record is from RNAcentral. Lineage: Eukaryota; Metazoa; Mollusca; Bivalvia; Mytilida; Mytilidae.
GGGGCAUAACUGAAGAACGGUAAAAGUGAUGCCACCUAAUUUGGAACUUGAUCUGUAUUAUGUGGUUAUCAGUAUUGUGUAUGACAUUAAGUUGAGGCAUACUAAAGAUGUUAGAGAAUAGAAACAAAAAAUUCAGCAGUUUUUCCAUUUGUAAAGGGGCAUAACUCUAGAACUGUUAAAGUGAUGCCACCAAAAUUCAAACUUGAUCUGUGUUUUGGGGUGAUAAGCAUUGUGUAUAAGUUUCAUAACUUUGAAUGAGACAAACUAAAGUACCAGAACAGAAACCAACUUUUGGAGGUACAAACGUUCAGACAGAACAAGGUAAAACUUAAUGCCCUCUCCGCUACAACAGGGGCAAACAAAAUUUGUCUGAACUUAAGAAAAUGCCUAUACCUGUGUAAAGAUAGGCAUAACAAUU